UCAGCGUCUGUGAAGGAAAAAAAUUGCACUCUGGUUUUCAGAGAGCCGGUGGUUGGUGCAAACCGGUAAACCGAUUGUAUAUUUUGAGCGUUCCUGAGUCACUGUAUUGAAAAUGGAGUAGGUACAGUCGGGUGAUUCCGUUAUGAAUCCGGUCAAUUGAUUUGACCAUAAGGCUGCUUCUUGUGAGAGAACAGCGAAUUAGGGUGGUACCACGACAGCUCUCGUCCCUUGA
This 232-nucleotide non-coding RNA is filed under the name Paenibacillus bovis. RNAcentral describes it as "T-box sequence". It matches the Rfam family "T-box leader". From Rfam's summary of the family: Uncharged tRNA acts as the effector for transcription antitermination of genes in the T-box leader family. T-boxes are found upstream of many aminoacyl-tRNA synthetase genes and some amino acid biosynthetic genes usually in Gram-positive bacteria. Lineage: Bacteria; Bacillati; Bacillota; Bacilli; Caryophanales; Paenibacillaceae. The record is from RNAcentral.